GCUGCGUCCCCGCCGGACCCCGGGGGGCGGAGCGAGAGCCCGGGCACGGCGGCAUUCUCCGGCGCGGCCGUCGCCGGGCUGCUCCAUGGAGAAGCGGGGCCCGGUGCUGCACAUCGUGGUGGUGGGCUUCCAUCACAAGAAGGGCUGCCAGGUUGAAUUUUCAUAUCCUCCCCUAAAACCUGGAGAAGGACAUGACAGCCACAGUUUACCAGAGGAGUGGAAGUACUUGCCAUUCCUUGCCUUACCGGAUGGCGCUCACAACUAUCAGGAAGAUACUGUGUUUUUCCACCUGCCUCCGAGAUGCGGGGAUCGAACCACAGUGUAUGGCGUCUCCUGCUAUCGGCAGAUUGAAGCAAAGGCAUUAAAAGUACGGCAAGCAGACAUCACCCGAGAAACUGUACAGAAAAGUGUCUGUGUUCUCAGCCAGCUGCCUUUGUAUGGGUUACUUCAGGCAAAGCUGCAACUCAUCACACAUGCAUAUUUUGAAGAAAAAGACUUCUCACAAAUUUCAAUUCUAAAGGAACUUUAUGAUCAUAUGAAUAGUUCCUUGGGCAAUACUUCAUUAGAAGGGUCACAAGUUUAUCUUGGUCUGUCUCCUCGGGAUCUUGUUCUCCAUUUUAGACACAAGGUCUUGAUCCUUUUUAAAUUGAUUCUUCUAGAGAAAAAGGUGCUGUUUUAUAUUUCUCCUGUAAAUAGAUUGGUGGGAGCUCUGAUGACUGUCUUGUCACUCUUUCCUGGUAUGAUUGAACAUGGUCUUAGUGACUGCUCACAGUACAGACCGAGAAAGAGCAUAUCAGAGGAUGCUGGCUUGCAGGAAAAUCCACCACAGUUUGAUGACUAUGUUUCUGUGUCUGCUGCUGAGGCUGCAAAUGCAAAUUUAGGAAUGGGAAAGGGAGACAGGAAGAUGACAGGAGAUAAUUCACUGGGAGGUCAAAAAGCAAACGUGCCUUUCUCCCAGGCCGAGAAGACUUGCAGUGGAGCUCAGUCCUCCAACGGUACUGUGCAGCGCUUGAAAGUUCCUUCCCGUGCUUCUCCAGCAUCCUCAGAAAGUGACUGGGAGACCCUGGAUCCCAGCGUUUUGGAGGAGUCUAAUUUGAAAGAAGGAGAACGCGAGAAUGCAGCGUCAGAACAGGCGGGAGAUGUUCGGAGCAAAGGCGUGAGCUCCGAAGGCCUUCCCAUCACUGUGCAGCCCCAGGCAAACACGGGGCACACGGUGCUUGUUCAGGGACUGGUGUCUGGGUUGGAAGAGGACCAGUAUGGGAUGCCACUGGCUAUUUUUACAAAGGGGUACCUCUGUUUGCCGUACAUGGCGCUGCAGCAGCAUCAUCUCCUGUCGGAUGUGACAGUCCGCGGCUUUGUGGCAGGAGCUACCAAUAUCCUGUUCCGUCAGCAGAAGCACCUGAGUGAUGCAAUUGUGGAAAUAGAAGAUGCUCAGGUGCAAAUCCACGAUCCAGAACUCCGUAAGAUCCUGAACCCAACAACUGCUGACCUGAGAUUUUCAGAUUACUUGGUGAAGCAUGUAACUGAGAACAGAGAUGAUGUGUUCCUUGAUGGCACUGGAUGGGAAGGAGGAGAUGAGUGGAUCAGGGCUCAGUUCAGUGCUUAUCUUCAUGCACUGCUUGCUGCUGUGCUGCAACCAGACAAUGAAAAGAUUUUGUCAGACUUUGGAACAGGAUUUGUAACGGCCUGGAAAAAUACCCACAACUACAGAGUAUGGAAUAGUAACAAGCAUCCAGCUCUUGCAGAGGUAAAUUCUAGCCAUCCAUUCCAGGGACAGUACUCUGUAUCAGAUGUUAAGUUAAGGUUGUCACAUAUCUUUCUUGUUCAGUUCAGUGCAAAACAGUGAACGUGGAAAGAAGAUUGGAAAUGUGAUGGUUUCUACCAGCCGGAAUGUGGUACAAACUGGAAAAGCUGUAGGUCAGUCUGUUGGAGGAGCCUUCACAAGUGCAAAAUCAGCAAUGUCAUCAUGGUUUUCCACUUUCACACACUCAACCCAAAGCCUUGGGGACUAAAUGCUGGUUUGGCAGAAUGCUGCUGACUAUUUCAGGUGCAAUCUUUCUCUGAGCUGUAAAAAGACCGCUCCAAAAUGUAGGAGUGGAGGUUACCUACCCAGGACCAAAAUAAGAUAUAUGUUGCUUGCAAGCAGAUGUGGAAUGUUAUUAUUCACUUUCCCUAGAAGUACAGAAGAAUGGUGAGUGUCACCAUACAGUGGGAUGGCAUUUGCAGUGUAUUGGUUAUAUUUAAAAUGACUACUUCUCUUCAAAACUGAGCCUUUAUAAAGACAUUAGCAAAUGGGGCUUGUUGCAAGCCAAAUGUGUUUGACUUUAGAUUUGUACAUUUUCUUGGAUGUUGAAGAUAUUUAUGUAAAGUAGUUCUAUUUUUCAAUCCAGAUAGCCAAAUGUUUGUGAAUUCUUGUUAGAAAUGAGCAGAAUAUAAAUAAUAAUUCCUCUUUUAGGUUGGAUUUGAGAGAAUCUCUGCAACCCUUAAAGGGUGGAACUUUCACGCUUUUAGCUGCAAAUUAAAAUCAACAAGGUGCAGAGUAAGACUGUGGCUGACAAGAGGUUUUUUUUCCCUCUAUUGCCUGUAUCCAUAUAGAGUUGUUUGAAUUAAUCUAUCUCUAGCUCUCUUUAUGUCUUCAAAUCUGUGUAACAGUUGCAAAAUCAGUAGUUUUUUUCAUGUUAUGCAGUAGGCCUUCAUACCUUUGUCUAUGUUUUGUCUGAGUUUUUCCCCAGGACAUGAAUGGGAUUCCAGUUGGAGAUAUCUCUUCAGGGAAAGAAUUACAAAGCAUUUCUCCCAAACUGGGAUUGGAUCAUAGAUAAUUUUGUAAGUUAGGAUGUCAUUACAACAUUAAUGUAGUUGCAUACAUAUGAAUAUGAAGUAUUAAACCCACCCAAAGCUAGCACAGUAGCAAACUCUGUGUGGUGGUUUUUUUUUUUUGGUUUUUUUUUCCCAGUAAAGUUAUGAGGACUCUUCCAAAUGAAAAUCAGCUAUGGAUUUUCUGUGUCGACUCAGGGAAUGUGCUGUUUGGGUAAUUGCUUUUUUCAUAAGGAAAGAAACACUGGAAUUGAGAGUAACUAAAACAGCUCAGUUAGUAUCCUUGUGUGGAGAAAUAUAAGAGUUUAUUUGAAAAGAUGUGGCAUAAUGCUGUAUUUCCUAUGUAGCAUGCAUGUGGUGGUUUCUGUAUGCAAGCGUAUUGCACUUCCUACAUUUCUUGAUUCCAAGGGAAAUUAUUUCCUUUUUUCUUGCAAUGUGUGUGCCUCUAGAUGCCUUCUGACAUCCCCACAUGUUGCUCUCAACAUUUUCUAUAUUACAUUAUCCAGUGUUCCAACUUUUCUGUACCAAAAGCCUCUUAGUUUAUUGCCUCAUCAGUAUCUGUCAGCAUUUUGCCAUGUUCUUUUCUGUGGCCAAGAUUUGUAGUCAUGGUUAUAUUUCCUGUUCCUCAAAUAAAAUGCAGCAGCUGCACAAGAGAUAAACAAGAAGGCUCAAAUGUUUUUAGGAAAUUAUGUUUUAAUUCCUUCUAUGCAUUUGUAAAGUUAAUAGAAAAGCCACAUUUGCAUCACAUUGUCACUGUCCAGCCAGCUUGGUUGUCAGUUUUUUUGCUUCAGUGAUUUGAAAAGAUGGGAUCUGAUUUAAAGCCUUCUUUAAUUUUUUUCCCAGGACAGACUAGAUAGAAUGACUGUGGAAAACCUAAAGGCAAACAGCCAGUUUGAGUAGUUUGAUUUGAGAAGGGCAAAAAAGGCCCCUAAAACUCUACUAAUUUAUUGCUUCUGACACUCAAGUAAGAUGUAUUUAUCAAACUGCAGCUAUUGCUCGUGGUCUCUGUGUGUCUUUGUAUCUCUCCUCAAACUUCUGAUGCUCUUUGCUGUUUUAUUCCACAACUCUGUAAUAGACAUUUUUAUCUUUUUAAAGACUAGAUAUUAUUUAUAUGCAGUGAAUUAAGACUAGAGUUGUUUACUCGUGGUGUGUCUAGAGCUUUCUGAAUCAGCAUGCAGAUAAGAAAAUAACCCAAAAUAAACACUUGCUUUUGUGAAAUGACUAACAUAUUAUCUGCACUCUGGGAUUUAAGUGGUCACAGUCCAUGUUCUAAUGAAGACUGAAGAAAGGUGCAUAAAGGAUUUAAUCACCAGCAACUUAAAGCAUACCUAGGUAGAUUUAGGCUUAGGAGCUCACAAUGGCGAGUUCCAGAAGCCAGGCAAGUGGUUGGUAUUUACAUGUAGAAGCAGGACCUGAAAGGAUCCCUUUUCAAUAUCCUUGUCUUUGUUACCUCCACACCUGAGUUUUCUCUGUUGAAUUCUCAAAUCCUCUGAAUUUAUAUUGCCAAUUUAUUAGCUCUCUGCAUUCCCCUUAUUCCCACAGGUUCCCUCGCUGGGCUAGGAGUAUUAGAAAGCUGACCUUUGUUUGUUUUCUCAUGGAUUAAUCUGAGGAAAGACAGAAGGAGGUGCCCUCACUGGCUGCUUGUUGCUUUGUACCACGAUUCUGUUGUGAUACUUGACAAUUUUUCUCUUAUGGGCAAGAAGACCAGACAGAUCUUUCUCUGCAGCCUUUUUCUCACUGUCCCAGCUGUCUCUGUUGUGGAACCAAACAUACAACCUGAUUAAGAGUAUUUUCAUUUCCUUAUAAAUGACAGAAUAAAAAACUUUUCAGUCUUUUUAAGAACUGACACCCUGCUAGCAAGUUGGACUUGGUUUUAAACUCAGAUUUCAAGAGUGAUUAAGACUCAAUGAGUGGGUGGAGAUGAAGUGAUCUUCAUAAUUAGUUGUCUUCAUUAACAUCUACGUUUGCUCUCCAGCAUUUGCUUAAGCUUACUUUUGGGCUGUAGGAAGGCAUGCAGCCACUGAGGUUCAUCUAAGCUCAUGUAGUUCUCUUCUUAACUUAGUGCUUGUAACCUCUUUAGUUAAAUCCAAUGCAAAUGCUAGUUAUUUUCCUCUCCUCUGCUUUAAUGUUUCCAGUGCAGGCAUUACUAAUUAUUCAGAAAGAUUUAGGCAGUCGACUUCCAUUUCAAAAGCCCUGACAUCUGUUUCUGCACUGUAAGGAACAAAGGGUCCUAAGUGAAUUGGUGAUAGUGCCUCUAAUCAGUCAGCUGUGAAGGUAUUGUUAUGGCUCUGUCCUGAUUUGAUGUUGCAAAGGUAUUUCUGGCUGUCAGCAUGCAGCACACACUGACUUGCAGGUAACAGUAGCACACCUCUCAACUUUCUCUCAUCACAGGAGACAAGCUCAGCUUUUCGUAUGUGCCAGCAUUUGAGGAACUGCCUGUUGAGCAGAGAAAUGAGAUGUAAGUCCCCCAAACCCCACAAGACUUAAGUGUUGCUGACCUUAUGUUUCAUUUGACUGAAGUGUUCAGCAUCUUUCAACAGUCAUUUUCAUGUCAUAACCUUAAUUCCUGUACACAUCUCACACCAGUUUCCCAAAAUGCCACAAUUUAAUUAGAAUUUUUAGGUCAGUGUUCUGGUACAUUGCACUUGUUUGACUUUGUACUUCUGUUUUAAGCACCUUUGUAAUUAAAUGUAGUAUUUUGCCUAAACAAGCUUCUCAUUUCCAUACAAAUUAUUACGAAGCAGAUAAACUAAUGUGGCGGUAUUUAAUUGUAAAAGUGAAGGUGUGAAUGCAGUUUUUAAACAUAGGAACUACUGCUUGAUAAUUGAACAUACAAGUAAUGUAUUUGAUUUUUCCUGUGCUGCUUGAAAAAUAAAAUACAUCCAGCCUGUUUAAAGUUCCA
Onychostruthus taczanowskii (white-rumped snowfinch) is the source of this 5716-nucleotide RNA transcript. It is a transcript of the gene named AVL9 cell migration associated, with no coding region annotated. Lineage: Eukaryota; Metazoa; Chordata; Aves; Passeriformes; Passeridae. The transcript is spliced from 16 exons. The record is from RefSeq and is a predicted model, not a curated record.